This is an RNA transcript of Peromyscus maniculatus bairdii (prairie deer mouse), 1697 nucleotides long. It is a transcript of the gene named TBC1 domain family member 13, with no coding region annotated. The record is from RefSeq and is a predicted model, not a curated record. Lineage: Eukaryota; Metazoa; Chordata; Mammalia; Rodentia; Cricetidae.
CUCCUCCGGAACGUGCACGCUCUCGCUUUUGCUUCCCGCCGGAGGCUUUUGCGGGGCUCCCCGGGUCCCCGGAGGGGGAAGGGGGGGCAGUGGCGGCAGCUGGGGCUGCAGAAGCAGCCCGGGGGUCCGGAAGUCAACACCAUGUCGAGUCUGCACAAGAGCCGGAUUGCAGAUUUCCAGGAUGUCCUGAAGGAGCCCUCCAUUGUGUUGGAAAAGCUUCGAGAACUCAGCUUUAGUGGCAUCCCCUGUGAGGGCGGACUGCGGUGCCUCUGCUGGAAGAUCCUCCUGAACUACCUCCCUUUGGAGAGAGCCUCGUGGACUUCCAUCCUGGCCAAGCAGAGGGGGCUCUAUUCUCAGUUCCUGAGAGAAAUGAUUAUCCAGCCUGGCAUUGCCAAGGCCAACAUGGGUGUAUCCAGGGAGGAUGUGACCUUUGAGGACCAUCCGCUCAACCCAAACCCUGAGAGCAGGUGGAACACGUAUUUUAAGGACAACGAGGUGCUGCUGCAGAUUGACAAAGAUGUCCGGAGGCUGUGCCCAGAUAUAUCCUUCUUCCAAAGAGCCACUGAGUACCCCUGCCUCCUCAUCCUGGACCCACAGAAUGAGUUCGAGACCCUUCGUAAGCGUGUGGAACAGACAACAUUGAAAUCUCAGACGGUGGCCCGGAACCGGAGCGGGGUCACAAAUAUGAGCUCCCCACACAAGAACAGCACCCCGCCGGCGCUGAACGAGUAUGAGGUUCUGCCCAAUGGCUGUGAAGCCCACUGGGAGGUGGUGGAGCGGAUCCUGUUCAUCUAUGCCAAGCUCAACCCUGGCAUCGCUUACGUGCAGGGCAUGAAUGAGAUCGUGGGCCCCCUCUACUAUACUUUUGCCACUGACCCCAACAGCGAGUGGAAAGAGCACGCUGAAGCCGACACCUUUUUCUGCUUCACCAACCUCAUGGCUGAGAUCCGGGACAACUUCAUCAAGAGCCUGGAUGACUCCCAGUGCGGCAUCACCUACAAGAUGGAAAAGGUGUACUCCACCUUGAAGGACAAGGAUGUAGAACUCUACCUGAAACUGCUGACCCCGAUCCCUGCUGUCUCCCCAGCAAGAGCAGAACAUCAAGCCCCAGUUCUUCGCCUUCCGCUGGCUGACGCUGCUGCUGUCGCAGGAGUUCUUGCUGCCCGACGUCAUCCGCAUCUGGGACUCGCUCUUCGCCGACGACAACCGCUUUGACUUCCUCCUCCUGGUCUGCUGUGCCAUGCUCAUACUGAUCCGGGAGCAGUUGCUGGAGGGAGAUUUCACCGUCAACAUGCGGCUUCUGCAGGAUUACCCCAUCACAGACGUCUGCCAGAUCCUACAGAAAGCCAAGGAACUCCAAGACUCGAAGUAACCUGGUAGCAAGAGGCCUGGGCUUGGAAGAGCAGCCACCUGCGAUCUACACCCUGGUUUGUGGGACCCAGAGCAGCCAGUGGGAAAGGCAGCCUGAGGGCAAGCUGCAGGCUUGGCCAGCUCCAGGUCUUCCCACCCUGGUUCCCAUGGUCCAGGCUCCUCCUCCUGGAGCACACUGUGCUGUGCUCCUUCCCAGUGCUCGGCCCUGCCGCCCUCCCUGCACUUCAGCCCUGAGACCCCCUGCCCAGGCUGCCGAGCAGGGCUGGAGCCCUGAGACCCCCGCCCAGGCUGCCGAGCAGGGCUGGAGCCCUGAGACCCCCGCCCAG